RNAcentral lists this ribosomal RNA (789 nucleotides) under uncultured archaeon. RNAcentral's name for it is "bacterial SSU rRNA". It matches the Rfam family "Archaeal small subunit ribosomal RNA", at positions 85 to 879 of the family's 1478-position model. The record is from RNAcentral.
ACUGCUCAGUAACACGUAGUUAACCUACUCUAAGGUCAAGCAUACCCUCGGGAAACUGAGGCUAAUACUUGAUAGAAGAUAUACCCUGGAAAGAUUUAUCUUUGAAACUCGAGCCUUAGAAUGGGACUGCGGCUGAUUAGGUUGUUGGCGGGGUAAUAGCCCACCAAGCCGAUGAUCAGUAAGGGCUCUUAGCGGAGAGGCCCUGAGAGGGAAUCUGAGAUACUAUUCCCAGCCCUACGGGGUGCAGCAGUUAGGAAUAUUCUACAAUGCGCGCAAGCGUGAUAGAUUGAACCAAAGUGUUUUUCAAUUUGAAAAGCUUUUAUGGAAUGUAAAAAGUUCCACGAAUAAGGACUGGGUAAGACUAGUGCCAGCCGCCGCGGUAAUACUAGCGGUCCAAGUCGCAGCCAUUUUUAUUGGGUCUAAAACAUCCGUAGCUUGCUUGAUAAGUUUCUUGUGAAAUUUUAUGUCUUAAACAUAGAGCGUGCAAGAAGUACUAUCAAGCUAGAGACUGGAAGACGUGAGGAGUAUGUUCGAAGUAGCGGUAAAAUGUUUUAAUCUCGGACAGACUAACAAUAGCGAAGGCACCUCACGAGGACAGUUCUGACAGUAAGGGAUGAAGGCUAGGGGCGCAAAACGGAUUAGAUACCCGUGUAGUCCCAGCUGUAAACUAUGCAAACUCAGUGAUGCAUUGGCUUGUGGCCAAUGCAGUGCUGCAGGGAAGCCGUUAAGUUUGCCGCCUGGGAAGUACGUACGCAAGUAUGAAACUUAAAGGAAUUGGCGGGGGAGCAC